This 1096-nucleotide ribosomal RNA is filed under the name Fusarium sp. RNAcentral's name for it is "eukaryotic LSU rRNA". The stretch from base 501 to 1096 matches the Rfam family "Eukaryotic large subunit ribosomal RNA", at positions 1 to 608 of the family's 3401-position model. Lineage: Eukaryota; Fungi; Ascomycota; Sordariomycetes; Hypocreales; Nectriaceae. The record is from RNAcentral.
UGGUGACCAGCGGAGGGAUCAUUACCGAGUUUACAACUCCCAAACCCCUGUGAACAUACCUUAAUGUUGCCUCGGCGGAUCAGCCCGCGCCCCGUAAAACGGGACGGCCCGCCAGAGGACCCAAACUCUAAUGUUUCUUAUUGUAACUUCUGAGUAAAACAAACAAAUAAAUCAAAACUUUCAACAACGGAUCUCUUGGUUCUGGCAUCGAUGAAGAACGCAGCAAAAUGCGAUAAGUAAUGUGAAUUGCAGAAUUCAGUGAAUCAUCGAAUCUUUGAACGCACAUUGCGCCCGCUGGUAUUCCGGCGGGCAUGCCUGUUCGAGCGUCAUUUCAACCCUCAAGCCCCCGGGUUUGGUGUUGGGGAUCGGCUCUGCCCUUCUGGGCGGCGCCGCCCCCGAAAUACAUUGGCGGUCUCGCUGCAGCCUCCAUUGCGUAGUAGCUAACACCUCGCAACUGGAACGCGGCGCGGCCAUGCCGUAAAACCCCAACUUCUGAAUGUUGACCUCGGAUCAGGUAGGAAUACCCGCUGAACUUAAGCAUAUCAAUAAGCGGAGGAAAAGAAACCAACAGGGAUUGCCCUAGUAACGGCGAGUGAAGCGGCAACAGCUCAAAUUUGAAAUCUGGCUUUCGGGCCCGAGUUGUAAUUUGUAGAGGAUACUUUUGAUGCGGUGCCUUCCGAGUUCCCUGGAACGGGACGCCAUAGAGGGUGAGAGCCCCGUCUGGUUGGAUGCCAAAUCUCUGUAAAGUUCCUUCGACGAGUCGAGUAGUUUGGGAAUGCUGCUCUAAAUGGGAGGUAUAUGUCUUCUAAAGCUAAAUAUUGGCCAGAGACCGAUAGCGCACAAGUAGAGUGAUCGAAAGAUGAAAAGCACUUUGAAAAGAGAGUUAAAAAGUACGUGAAAUUGUUGAAAGGGAAGCGUUUAUGACCAGACUUGGACUUGGUUAAUCAUCUGGGGUUCUCCCCAGUGCACUUUUCCAGUUCAGGCCAGCAUCAGUUUUCGCCGGGGGAUAAAGGCAGCGGGAAUGUGGCUCUCUUCGGGGAGUGUUAUAGCCCGUUGUGUAAUACCCUGGUGGGGACUGAGGUUCGCGCUCUGCAAG